AGCGAACGCUGGCGGCAGGCUUAACACAUGCAAGUCGAGCGGGCACUUCGGCGUCAGCGGCAGACGGGUGAGUAACACGUGGGAACGUACCCUUCGGUUCGGAAUAACGCUGGGAAACUAGCGCUAAUACCGGAUACGCCCUUUUGGGGAAAGGUUUACUGCCGAAGGAUCGGCCCGCGUCUGAUUAGCUAGUUGGUGGGGUAAUGGCCUACCAAGGCGACGAUCAGUAGCUGGUCUGAGAGGAUGAUCAGCCACACUGGGACUGAGACACGGCCCAGACUCCUACGGGAGGCAGCAGUGGGGAAUAUUGGACAAUGGGCGCAAGCCUGAUCCAGCCAUGCCGCGUGAGUGAUGAAGGCCUUAGGGUUGUAAAGCUCUUUUGUCCGGGACGAUAAUGACGGUACCGGAAGAAUAAGCCCCGGCUAACUUCGUG
RNAcentral lists this ribosomal RNA (433 nucleotides) under uncultured bacterium. RNAcentral's name for it is "partial 16S ribosomal RNA". It matches the Rfam family "Bacterial small subunit ribosomal RNA", at positions 29 to 507 of the family's 1533-position model. The record is from RNAcentral.